This 400-nucleotide unclassified non-coding RNA is filed under the name uncultured fungus. Its description in RNAcentral is "sequence contains ITS1". The record is from RNAcentral. Lineage: Eukaryota; Fungi.
CCGUCAAUUCAUUUGAGUUUUAAUCUUGCGACCGUACUCCCCAGGCGGUCAACUUCACGCGUUAGCUUCGUUACUAAAGGAUUUCACUCCUCCAACAACUAGUUGACAUCGUUUAGGGCGUGGACUACCAGGGUAUCUAAUCCUGUUUGCUCCCCACGCUUUCGUGCAUGAGCGUCAGUGUCGACCCAGGGGGCUGCCUUCGCCAUCGGUAUUCCUCCACAUCUCUACGCAUUUCACUGCUACACGUGGAAUUCUACCCCCCUCUGCCGCACUCUAGCCUUCCAGUCCCAAAUGCAGUUCCCAGGUUAAGCCCGGGGAUUCCACAUCUGGCUUAAAAAGCCGCCUGCGCACGCUUUACGCCCAGUAAUUCCGAUUAACGCUCGCACCCUACGUAUUACCG